UGUAAAUUUAUUAGCUAUAAUUAUUAUUAGAUAUGAUCUUUAAAAUUAAAGAUUUUGGCGGUAUUUUAGUCUAUUCAGAGGAACCUGUUUUUUAAUCGAUAAUCCACGAUUAUUUUUACUUUAUCUUUAAAUUUACAUAUCGUCGUGAAAUAAAUAUUUUUAUAGAAAAAUAAUUUUUAUGAUUUUUUAUUAAAGAUUAAUUCAGAUCAAGGUGUAGUUGAUGUUAAAGUUUUAAUGGGUUACAUUGUAUUUAUAUUUGGGUUUUUAAUUUUAAAUUAAAAGUUAAAUUGGAUUUGGAAGUAAUUUUUAAAUAUUUAUAAGAUGACUUAGCUCUAAAAUAUGCACACAUCGCC
This 353-nucleotide ribosomal RNA is filed under the name Asida schusteri. RNAcentral describes it as "partial 12S ribosomal RNA". The record is from RNAcentral. Lineage: Eukaryota; Metazoa; Arthropoda; Insecta; Coleoptera; Tenebrionidae.